This 72-nucleotide transfer RNA is filed under the name Flintiella sanguinaria. RNAcentral describes it as "tRNA-Thr". It matches the Rfam family "tRNA". From Rfam's summary of the family: Transfer RNA (tRNA) molecules are approximately 80 nucleotides in length. Their secondary structure includes four short double-helical elements and three loops (D, anti-codon, and T loops). Lineage: Eukaryota; Rhodophyta; Bangiophyceae; Porphyridiales; Porphyridiaceae. The record is from RNAcentral.
GCCACUGUAGCUCAUAGGUAGAGCAUCUCCUUGGUAAGGAGAAGGUAACGAGUUCAAGUCUCGUCAGAGGCU